Molecule: ribosomal RNA, 459 nt
Filed under: uncultured bacterium
Lineage: Bacteria
Description: partial 16S ribosomal RNA
Rfam family: Bacterial small subunit ribosomal RNA
Source: RNAcentral
CCUACGGGUGGCAGCAGUGAGGAAUAUUGGUCAAUGGCCGAGAGGCUGAACCAGCCAAGUCGCGUGAGGGAUGACGGCCCUACGGGUUGUAAACCUCUUUUGUCGGGGAGCAAAGAGAGUCACGUGUGGCUCAUUGAGAGUACCCGAAGAAAAAGCAUCGGCUAACUCCGUGCCAGCAGCCGCGGUAAUACGGAGGAUGCGAGCGUUAUCCGGAUUUAUUGGGUUUAAAGGGUGCGCGGGCGGGGGUUUAAGUCAGUGGUAAAAUUUCGGGGCUCAACCCCGUACUGCCAUUGAAACUGCAUGCCUUGAGUGCGCGUGAGGUAUGCGGAAUGCGUGGUGUAGCGGUGAAAUGCAUAGAUAUCACGCAGAACUCCGAUUGCGAAGGCAGCAUACCGGAGCGCAACUGACGCUGAUGCACGAAAGCGUGGGUAUCGAACAGGAUUAGAUACCCCGGUAGUC